UCUAAACGUUGAAGCACAUCGUUCGUACCCCAAACCAACUCAGGUGGACAGGGAGAGAAUCCUAAGGCGAUUGAGUGAAGCUGGGCCAAGGAACUCGGCAAAUUGAUACCGUAACUUCGGGAUAAGGUAUGCCGGCAGUGUGUAAGGCUUCGCGCCCCAAGCAUGGUCCGGUCGCAGAGAAGAGGGAGAAGCGACUGUUUAACAAAAACACAGCACUGUGCAAAAUCGCAAGAUGACGUAUACGGUGUGACGCCUGCCCGGUGCUGGAAGGUUAAAAGGAGGGGUUAGCGCAAGCAAAGCUCCGAAUUGAAGCCCCAGUAAACGGCGGCCGUAACAAUAACGGUCCUAAGGUAGCGAAAUUCCUUGUCGGGUAAGUUCCGACCUGCACGAAUGGCGUAACGACUUCUCCGCUGUCUCGGCCCAGUGCUCAGCGAAUUUGAAAAACGGGUGCAGAUGCCCGUUACCCGCAGUAAGACGGAAAGACCCCGUGAACCUUUACUAUAACUUGGCAUUGGUAUUUGGGUUUGUCUGUGUAGGAUAGGUGGGAGGCUUUGAUCCUGCGGCGCCAGUCGUAGGGGAGCCGACGUUGAAAUACCACCCUGACAAUUCUGAAUAUCUAACCUCUUCCCGUAAGCCGGGAAAGGGACAAUGCCUGGUGGGUAGUUUGACUGGGGCGGUCGCCUCCAAAAAAGUAACGGAGGCGUACAAAGGUUACCUCAGACCGAAUGGAAACCGGUCGUAGAGUGCAAAGGCAUAAGGUAGCUUGACUGCGAGAGGGACACCUCAAGCAGGCACGAAAGUGGGUCUUAGUGAUCCGGUGGUUCCGCAUGGAAGGGCCAUCGCUCAACGGAUAAAAGGUACUCCGGGAUAACAGGCUGAUCUUCCCCAAGAGUUCACAUCGACGGGAAGGUUUGGCACCUCGAUGUCGGCUCAUCACAUCCUGGGGCUGAAGCAGGUCCCAAGGGUUUGGCUGUUCGCCAAUUAAAGUGGUACGCGAGCUGGGUUCAGAACGUCGUGAGACAGUUCGGUCCCUAUCUACUGUGGGCGCAGGAAAUUUGAGGGGGUCUGUCCUUAGUACGAGAGGACCGGGAUGGACGUACCUAUGGUGUACCUGUUGUCGCGCCAGCGGCAUAGCAGGGUAGCUAAGUACGGUCGGGAUAACUGCUGAAAGCAUCUAAGUAGGAAGCCCACCCCAAGAUGAGAUUUCCCUAGCCGCAAGGCUCUGAAGAUCCGUUAUAGACCAUGACGUUGAUAGGCUGGAGGUGGAAGCACUGCAAGGUGUGGAGCUGAUCAGUACUAAUAGAUCGUGAGGCU
RNAcentral lists this ribosomal RNA (1314 nucleotides) under metagenome. RNAcentral describes it as "bacterial LSU rRNA". It matches the Rfam family "Bacterial large subunit ribosomal RNA", at positions 1620 to 2925 of the family's 2925-position model. The record is from RNAcentral.